UACGUAGGGUGCGAGCGUUAAUCGGAAUUACUGGGCGUAAAGCGUGCGCAGGCGGUGAUGUAAGACAGUUGUGAAAUCCCCGGGCUCAACCUGGGAACUGCAUCUGUGACUGCAUCGCUGGAGUGCGGCAGAGGGGGAUGGAAUUCCGCGUGUAGCAGUGAAAUGCGUAGAUAUGCGGAGGAACACCGAUGGCGAAGGCAGCCCCCUGGGGUAACACUGACGCUCAUGCACGAAAGCGUGGGGAGCAAACAGG
This 253-nucleotide ribosomal RNA is filed under the name uncultured bacterium. RNAcentral describes it as "partial 16S ribosomal RNA". It matches the Rfam family "Bacterial small subunit ribosomal RNA", at positions 524 to 776 of the family's 1533-position model. The record is from RNAcentral.